RNAcentral lists this ribosomal RNA (439 nucleotides) under uncultured bacterium. RNAcentral describes it as "partial 16S ribosomal RNA". It matches the Rfam family "Bacterial small subunit ribosomal RNA", at positions 338 to 795 of the family's 1533-position model. The record is from RNAcentral.
CCUACGGGUGGCAGCAGUGGGGAAUAUUGGACAAUGGGGGAAACCCUGAUCCAGCGACGCCGCGUGAGUGAAGAAGUAUUUCGGUACGUAAAGCUCUAUCAGCAGGAAAGAAAAUGACGGUACCUGACUAAGAAGCCCCGGCUAACUACGUGCCAGCAGCCGCGGUAAUACGUAGGGGGCAAGCGUUAUCCGGAUUUAUUGGGUUUAACGGGUGCGUAGGCGGGCUGUUAAGUCAGCGGUCAAAUGUCGGGGCCCAACCCAGGCCUGCCGUUGAAACUGGCGGCCUCGAGUGGGCGAGAAGUAGGCGGAAUGCGUGGUGUAGCGGUGAAAUGCAUAGAUAUCACGCAGAACUCCGAUUGCGAAGGCAGCAUACCGGCGCCCGACUGACGCUGAGGCACGAAAGCGUGGGUAUCGAACAGGAUUAGAUACCCCGGUAGUC